GAUGAACGCUGGCGGCGUGCUUAACACAUGCAAGUCGAACGAAGCAUUUCCUUUUCUUCGGAAAAGGAAAUGACUGAGUGGCGGACGGGUGAGUAACGCGUGGGUAACCUGCCUCAUACAGGGGGAUAACAGCUGGAAACGGCUGCUAAUACCGCAUAAGCGCACAAUGCUGCAUGGCAUAGUGUGAAAAACUCUGGUAGUAUGAGAUGGACCCGCGUCUGAUUAGCUAGUUGGUAAGGUAAUGGCUUACCAAGGCGACGAUCAGUAGCCGACCUGAGAGGGUGACCGGCCACAUUGGGACUGAGACACGGCCCAAACUCCUACGGGAGGCAGCAGUGGGGAAUAUUGCACAAUGGGCGAAAGCCUGAUGCAGCGACGCCGCGUGAGCGAAGAAGUAUUUCGGUAUGUAAAGCUCUAUCAGCAGGGAAGAAAAAAAUGACGGUACCUGACUAAGAAGCACCGGCUAAAUACGUGCCAGCAGCCGCAGUAA
RNAcentral lists this ribosomal RNA (490 nucleotides) under uncultured bacterium. Its description in RNAcentral is "partial 16S ribosomal RNA". It matches the Rfam family "Bacterial small subunit ribosomal RNA", at positions 28 to 523 of the family's 1533-position model. The record is from RNAcentral.